UGAUUUAAAUUUAAUGAUGGUGAUGGGUGUUUUUCGAUGGAACUUCAACAGAAAUUGGAGCGAAGGAGAGUGACGGUUUGUUAGUGUUGGUUAUUGGUGGUGUUUGACGAAAAUGAUUGGAGUUCAUGGUUUGAGGUUUUGAUUGGUUGAAAGUGUCGUUGGCUGUGAUGGAGUUUUUCAGUGGGUUUAGUGGUUAUUGUUCUGCCGGAGAUGGAGUGUUGGUGGCGGG
RNAcentral lists this long non-coding RNA (229 nucleotides) under Capsicum annuum. Its description in RNAcentral is "long non-coding RNA (CANN_LNC006913)". The record is from RNAcentral. Lineage: Eukaryota; Viridiplantae; Streptophyta; Magnoliopsida; Solanales; Solanaceae.